AUAUCAUGGAGAGUUUGAUCCUGGCUCAGAACGAACGCUGGCGGCGCGUCUUAAGCAUGCAAGUCGAGCGGUAAGCUGUAGCAAUACAGCCUAGAGCGGCGGACUGGUGAGUAACACGUGGGUGACCUACCCUUAGGAUGGGGAUAGCCACUAGAAAUAGUGGGUAAUACCGAAUGUGGUUACCGGGCUGUGGCCUGGUAAAGAAAGGAGCUUUGGCUCCGCCUGAGGAUGGGCCCGCGUCCCAUUAGCUCGUUGGUGAGGUAACGGCCCACCAAGGCGAUGAUGGGUAGCCGGCCUGAGAGGGUGAACGGCCACACUGGGACUGAGAUACGGCCCAGACUCCUACGGGAGGCAGCAGCUAAGAAUAUUCCGCAAUGGACGAAAGUCUGACGGAGCGACGCCGCGUGGAUGAUGAAGGCCGAAAGGUUGUAAAAUCCUUUUGUCGAUGAAGAAUAAGCAUGGGAGGGAAUGCCCGUGUGAUGACGUUAGUCGGCGAAUAAGCCCCGGCUAAUUACGUGCCAGCAGCCGCGGUAACACGUAAGGGGCGAGCGUUGUUCGGAAUUAUUGGGCGUAAAGGGCGCGUAGGCGGUCCUGUAAGCCCGGCGUGAAAACCUGGAGCUCAACUCCGGGCCUGCGCUGGGAACUGCGGGACUAGAGUCAUGGAAGGGAAGUUGGAAUUCCAGGUGUAGGGGUGAAAUCUGUAGAUAUCUGGAAGAACACCGGUGGCGAAGGCGAACUUCUGGCCAAUGACUGACGCUGAGGCGCGAAAGUGCGGGGAGCAAACAGGAUUAGAUACCCUGGUAGUCCGCACCAUAAACGAUGUACACUAGGCGUUGGGUCGAGUGACUCAGUGCCGAAGCUAACGUGAUAAGUGUACCGCCUGGGGAGUAUGCCCGCAAGGGUGAAACUCAAAGGAAUUGACGGGGGCCCGCACAAGCGGUGGAGCAUGUGGUUUAAUUCGAUGGUACGCGAGGAACCUUACCUGGGUUUGACAUACGGGGGAAGGCGGUAGAGAUAUCGCCGCGUCGCAAGACGCCGCCGUACAGGUGCUGCAUGGCUGUCGUCAGCUCGUGCCGUGAGGUGUUGGGUUAAGUCCCGCAACGAGCGCAACCCCUACUGCCAGUUACUAGCAGGUAAAGCUGAGGACUCUGGCGGAACUGCCGGUGACAAACCGGAGGAAGGUGGGGAUGACGUCAAGUCAUCAUGGCCCUUAUGUCCAGGGCUACACACGUGCUACAAUGGUCGGUACAAAGCGAAGCAAAACCGCGAGGUAAGAGCAAAGCGCAAAAAGCCGAUCGUAGUUCGGAUUGAAGUCUGAAACCCGACUUCAUGAAGGUGGAAUCGCUAGUAAUCGCGCAUCAGCACGGCGCGGUGAAUACGUUCCCGGGCCUUGUACACACCGCCCGUCACACCAUCCGAGUUGGAGGUACCCGAAGCCGGUAGUCUAACCCGCAAGGGGGGACGCUGUCGAAGGUACGUCUAGUGAGGAGGGUGAAGUCGUAACAAGGUAGCCGUACCGGAAGGUGCGGCUGGAUCACCUCCUUU
RNAcentral lists this ribosomal RNA (1545 nucleotides) under Gracilinema caldarium DSM 7334. RNAcentral describes it as "Treponema caldarium DSM 7334 16S ribosomal RNA". It matches the Rfam family "Bacterial small subunit ribosomal RNA". Lineage: Bacteria; Pseudomonadati; Spirochaetota; Spirochaetia; Treponematales; Breznakiellaceae. The record is from RNAcentral.